This 383-nucleotide ribosomal RNA is filed under the name uncultured eukaryote. RNAcentral describes it as "partial 18S ribosomal RNA". It matches the Rfam family "Eukaryotic small subunit ribosomal RNA", at positions 592 to 976 of the family's 1831-position model. The record is from RNAcentral.
UGUAAGCGUAUACCAAAGUUGUUGCAGUUAAAACGCUCGUAGUCGGAUUUUGGCGGUUCCGGAAGUGUGCCGCGUCGUGCGGCCGCUUUGCAGGGACUGCUUUUGUGUGUUCGCGUCGGAUGAGGCACGUUUAUUCGUGAACGUCCGCACGCUGCCACUUUUUACUGUGAGAAAAUCAGAGUGCUCAAAGCAGGCAUUUGCCGUGAAUGUAUUAGCAUGGAAUAAUAGAAUAGGACUCGGUUCUAUUUUGUUGGUUUGUUGGGACUGAGUAAUGAUUAAGAGGGACAGUUGGGGGCAUUUGUAUUUCGGCGCUAGAGGUGAAAUUCUUAGAUUGCCGAAAGACAAACUGCUGCGAAAGCGUCUGCCAAGGAUGUUUUCAUUGA